Scomber japonicus (chub mackerel) is the source of this 835-nucleotide long non-coding RNA. RefSeq lists it as uncharacterized. NCBI's taxonomy places the organism in Eukaryota, Metazoa, Chordata, Actinopteri, Scombriformes, Scombridae. The record is from RefSeq and is a predicted model, not a curated record. The transcript has 3 exons.
AUUAUCUGGCCUUAGCUCUGAAGUUCAACUCCUCCCAUCUGAGAGAGCUGGAUCUGAGCUUCAAUGACCUGAAUGAUUCAGGAGUGAAGCUGCUGUGUGGUUUUGUGGAGAGUCCAGACUGUAAACUGGAGACUCUGAGAUUGUGGCGCUGCAGUUUAUCAAAGAUCAGCUGUGAUUAUCUGGCCUCAGCUCUGAAGUGCAACCCCUCCCAUCUGAGAGAGCUGGAUCUGAAUGAAAACUACCUGAAGGAAUCCGAUGUGAAGCAGCUGAUCGAUCUUCAGGAGAGUCCAGACUGCAGACUGGAGACUCUGGAAUGGAAGUGAUCUCUUUCAGAGUGAGAGUGAACAUCCAGGAGUGUUGAGAGAGGAUCAGCUGGAUCCUGAUGAUCCAUCUGGAGUCUGGAUCUGGGUUUUGUCGUCUUCACUUAAGUCUCUUAACUGACUCCAAACUGAACAGUUAUCUCUGGAUUUAGCUGAAGUCAGCACUUUACAGAUGAGUUCUACAUGAGCUGUUUGAUGCAGAAAAGAUAAAAACAGGUGUUAUAAGUCAGACUGUGAGCCUGGGCUCAUAUUUAUCAAGCGUCUCAGAAUCACACAGAGUUAACGAGGACUAAAACUAAUGAAUGAAGCAGAAGAGAAUUGACUGACUUUCAGCAGGAGAAGGAUUACUGCUGGGAGAGAGUGAGACGUGGCUGUUUUACCACAGUCAGAGCAGCAGAGUAGAGGGUCCGGCCAUUUCUGAGCUGCUUUUAUGUUUAGAUCCAAAGCUGAAAACAUGCUGAACAAUGUGUUAGAAUGAUGGAAGCUGCAGUUCAGUCUGCGUCCACACGGAGGAG